RNAcentral lists this long non-coding RNA (2822 nucleotides) under Olea europaea subsp. europaea. The record is from RNAcentral. Lineage: Eukaryota; Viridiplantae; Streptophyta; Magnoliopsida; Lamiales; Oleaceae.
CUAAGAACAUGGAACCUAUUAGUCGUGAAACUUUUAUGGUUGAGUCCAAACCAAACCUAAAUCCAAAAUUUUUCAAUUUCAAUAAGAAACCUGGACACAAAAAAAGUUUGAACUUUAAAGAUAAAAUGAAAACCAAGACUAAGGGUAAAAAAUGUUUCUACAGUCUAGGUGAAGAUUAUUUUAUCAAAGAAUAUCAUAAGAGACUUAAUGACUUGAAGAAUAAGUCUAAUAAUGAUGGUGGUGCUGCUUUAGCCUAUAAUAAUGAGUCCAACCUAGAUGAGGUCUAUGUUGCUGUACACACUCUACCUAGUCAGGAGUGGAUCCUUGACUCCUAUUGUACCUUUAACAUGUGUUCUAAAAGAGAGUUGCUUACUGAGUUUGAAAAUAUAAAUGGAGGUCAAGUGUUAAUGGGUAAUCACGUUUUGUCAGGUAAAAGGAAUAGGAUCAGUUACCUUAAGGCUUGAUGGUAAUAAUGAAUUGAUCUUAGAAAAGACUAGGUAUGUUCCUGACCUAUAAAGAAAUUUGAUAUCCUUAGUGUCCUAGAUGACCUGAACUAAAAUAUUGUGAUUAACAAGGGAUGCAUUAAAAUCUUGAGGGGCUCUCAACUUGUUGCUGAAUCCUGCAAAAGACAUGGGCUUUACAUUUUACACACUCAAAACUUUUUUGACUCCACAUCAGCAGCAAUUUUUGCCCCCAGUGAUAAGUCAUAAUUAUGGAAUAAAAGAUUGGGCCAUAUUAGUAACAAAGGCUUACAGAUUUUGAAAAAACAAGGUGCUUUUGGUAAAGACAUAAUUGAGAAACUCAGUUUUUGUGAUCGUUGCGUACUCGGAAAGAAAAAUAGAUUACCAUUUCUGUCUAGGAUGCAUAAAUCCGUGUCUAUUCUUGAGUAUUUGCAUGCUGAUCUUUGGGGACCAGCUUCUGUCCCCACACAUACUGGUUUCGAAUUUUUCCUUUUAAUCAUAGAUGAUUUUUCUUGGAAAAUUGGCUCUUUCAGCUUAAACAUAAGUCUGACAAUUUUAAAGACUUUAAAGAGUGGAAAAUCUUGAUCGAGAAUCAAACAAAUAAAAAGAUUAAAGUACUGAGGAUUGAUAAUGGGCCUGAGUUCUGUAAUUAUGAAUUUGUUGAAUUGUGCAAAGUACAUGAUAUUCUAAGACAUAGAACAGUAAUACAUACCCCACAACAAAAUGACUUGGCUGAAAGAAUGAACCGAACUAUUCUUGAGAGAGUUAGAUACAUAUUAUUAGAUUCUGAUCUUCCCAAGUUAUUUUGGGGAGAAGCUGCAAAAACUGAUGGUUAUCUCAUAAAAAGAAGCCCCACUAAUACUAUACAAUUUAAAUCCACUGAAGAAGUUUGGACAAGAAAACCUGUAGAUUCAAGUAAUUUGAAAAUAUUUGGUUGUGCAACCUUUGCACACCAAUCUGAAGGGAAACUUGAACCUAGAGCCUUUAAGUGUAUUUUUUUGGGCUAUGAUGAAGGGGUAAAGGGGUAUAGACUUUGGGUAAAAGAGACCAAAUGUUAUAAGAUCAUUUUGAGUAGAAAUGUAGUGUUUAACGAGUUUGAUCUGCCUUGUUUAAAAUCUGAAAAUAAGACUAAUGAAUUUGGUCAGACUAACAAUGAAGGAAGGGAAACUGAAAUUGAGGUGGAACAAGUUAAUAAUGAUAAUCUACAACCUGAUUAAACUAAAAAUAGUGAGAUUGAGGCUCAAAAUAUUAAUGAAAAUGAUCAAAAUGAAUUUGAUUUUGAAGUUAAUCAACCCUUAAAUGAUUAUCAACUUGCUAGAGAUAGAGAAAAGAGAGAAAUAAGACUACCUGUGAGAUUUGAUGAUGAAAUAUAUCUUCUUACUAUUCAGGGGUUCAUUGAGAAUGAACCUAUAAAGAUGCUAUGAGUAGCAAGGACUCUAAGUAUUGGCUAGCUGUAAUGCAUGGUGAGAUGGAAUCUUUGAGGAAGAAUAAAACUUGGACCUUAGUUAAGAGACCUAAGGGAAAGAGAGUUAUAGAUUGCAAGUGGAUCUAUAAAAUCAAAAGAGGUGAAAAAGAUGAGAACGACAUUAGAUAUAAAGCAAGACUUGUGGGUAAGGGUUUUGCUCAAAAGAAAGGGAUAGACUUUAAUGAAAUAGUUUCCACCGUUGUAAAAUUUACAACUGUUAGAGUCAUACUUGCCGUUGUAGCUCAAUUUAAUUGGGAAUUGGAUCAAUCAAAUGUAAAAAUUACAUUUUUAAAUGAAGAUCUUGAAGAAACCAUUUUUAUGGAACAACCUAAAGGCUUUGAAGUAAAUAAAAAUUUAGACUUAAUAUGCCUUCUUAAGAUGUCACUUUAUGGUUUAAAACAAACUCCAAGACAAUGGUACAAGAGAUUUGACAUAUUUGUGCUUGAACUUGGUUUUAAAAGAAGCAAUUUCGAUACUUGUCUUUAUUGUAAAGGAAACGGAGGUGAGAAUUCACUCUAUCUUCUACUUUACGUGGAUGACAUGAUUUUAGCAAGUCAUGACAUAAAAGAAAUAGAGUCAAUUAAAGAUAAAUUAAAAUUUGAAUUUGAAAUAAAAGACUUAGGCCCUGUUAAAAAAAUUUUGGGUAUCGAAAUUAAAAGAAAUAGAAGAAAUGGCACAAUAUGUCUAAGUAAAAAAUCUUAUGCGUUGAAAGUACUUGAAAGAUUUGCAAUGUCUAAUGCUAAAAGUGUGAGUCUACCUUUAACUAAUAAUUUCAAAUUAUCUAAUGAUCAAUGUCACAAAACUUAAGAAGAGUUUAAAAGAAUGGCUAGAGUGCCAUAUUCUAAUUCUGUGGGAUCAGUUGUGUAUCUAAUGAUUUGUUCUAGAUCUGAUUAGGC